Molecule: long non-coding RNA, 488 nt
Organism: Mustela lutreola (European mink)
Lineage: Eukaryota; Metazoa; Chordata; Mammalia; Carnivora; Mustelidae
Exons: 2
Source: RefSeq, a predicted model, not a curated record
ACCGGCAACGGGGCCGCAGUGCGCAGCCGCAGCCCGGGCCGGGCCUGGGCGCGCUGCGGAACCUGCGCGAGGGGCGCGCAACUUUAUUUUCUGGAUCUUACUAGCGUCCGCGCAUUGCCAAGCAGCAGGGGAAACGUUCCUCCAUUUCAGCCGCCGAGCGGUGAAGCCCAUUUUCCGAGCGCGCCCUGUUCUGCGCCGGGCCGCCUUGACUGGAUGCGGCUACGCUUCUCAGGCCAAGGGGUGCUGCUCCUCCCCACACGUGCGUUGAUCACGAUCCCUUUCCGUGCUUGCCACCCCGUCGAGUGUUACCUUCGGACAGAUUCGCAGCAGUGAGAUUACCUGGGCCUUAAAGAUAGAGACCUGUGUGAGCCUACUUGGAGAUCUGUUGUUCCCCCAAAGGAUUGUGCUAUCAGUGACAAACUGUUGAAUAUUGCUUACACAGUUUAAAAAAAACAAUUAUUACUUAAACUGUCAUCUCAUUGUUUUAA